AUACUUACCUGGCAAGGGAGACACCGUGAUCACCAAGGCGGUUCACCCAGGGCGAGGCUCGGCCAUUGCACUCCGGCUGUGCUGACCCCUGCGAAUUUCCCAAAUGUGGAAAUCUCGAUUGCAUAAUUUCUGGUAGUGGGGGACUGCGUUCGCGCUCUCCCCUG
Molecule: small nuclear RNA, 164 nt
Gene: U1
Rfam family: U1 spliceosomal RNA
About the family: U1 is a small nuclear RNA (snRNA) component of the spliceosome (involved in pre-mRNA splicing). Its 5' end forms complementary base pairs with the 5' splice junction, thus defining the 5' donor site of an intron. There are significant differences in sequence and secondary structure between metazoan and yeast U1 snRNAs, the latter being much longer (568 nucleotides as compared to 164 nucleotides in human).
Source: Ensembl